Molecule: long non-coding RNA, 121 nt
Organism: Oncorhynchus masou masou (cherry salmon)
Lineage: Eukaryota; Metazoa; Chordata; Actinopteri; Salmoniformes; Salmonidae
Exons: 3
Source: RefSeq, a predicted model, not a curated record
GCUCUGAUGAUCAUUGUAGCAGGGAAACAGACCUCAGUUCUGGUUCUCAUCCUCUGUCUCUCUGGACUCAUGUUGUUCAGGAAGAAGGCCUCCAAACCCACCAACACAAGAGACACAGCAG